AAAGGCCGGCGAUACAGGGUGACAGCCCCGUACACGAAGGCACACAGGUUGUGAGCUCGAUGAGUAGGGCGGGACACGUGAUAUCCUGUCUGAAGAUGGGGGGACCAUCCUCCAAGGCUAAAUACUCCUGACUGACCGAUAGUGAACCAGUACCGUGAGGGAAAGGCGAAAAGAACCCCGGCGAGGGGAGUGAAACAGAACCUGAAACCGUGUACGUACAAGCAGUGGGAGCCUUCGUAAGAGGGUGACUGCGUACCUUUUGUAUAAUGGGUCAGCGACUUAUAUUCUGUAGCAAGGUUAACCGUAUAGGGGAGCC
This 316-nucleotide ribosomal RNA is filed under the name Cronobacter dublinensis 582. Its description in RNAcentral is "LSU rRNA". It matches the Rfam family "Bacterial large subunit ribosomal RNA", at positions 346 to 667 of the family's 2925-position model. The record is from RNAcentral. Lineage: Bacteria; Pseudomonadati; Pseudomonadota; Gammaproteobacteria; Enterobacterales; Enterobacteriaceae.